RNAcentral lists this ribosomal RNA (464 nucleotides) under Vreelandella stevensii. RNAcentral's name for it is "partial 16S ribosomal RNA". It matches the Rfam family "Bacterial small subunit ribosomal RNA", at positions 339 to 795 of the family's 1533-position model. The record is from RNAcentral. Lineage: Bacteria; Pseudomonadati; Pseudomonadota; Gammaproteobacteria; Oceanospirillales; Halomonadaceae.
CUACGGGGUGCUGCAGUGGGGAAUAUUGGACAAUGGGCGAAAGCCUGAUCCAGCCAUGCCGCGUGUGUGAAGAAGGCCUUCGGGUUGUAAAGCACUUUCAGUGGGGAAGAAAGCCUUGGGGCUAAUACCCUCGAGGAAGGACAUCACCCACAGAAGAAGCACCGGCUAACUCCGUGCCAGCAGCCGCGGUAAUACGGAGGGUGCGAGCGUUAAUCGGAAUUACUGGGCGUAAAGCGCGCGUAGGCGGUCUGAUAAGCCGGUUGUGAAAGCCCCGGGCUCAACCUGGGAACGGCAUCCGGAACUGUCAGGCUAGAGUGCAGGAGAGGAAGGUAGAAGUCCCGGUGUAGCGGUGAAAUGCGUAGAGAUCGGGAGGAAUACCAGUGGCGAAGGCGGCCUUCUGGACUGACACUGACGCUGAGGUGCGAAAGCGUGGGUAGCAAACAGGAUUAGAUACCCUAGUAGUC